AACGAACGCUGGCGGCAUGCCUAACACAUGCAAGUCGAACGAGACCUUCGGGUCUAGUGGCGCACGGGUGCGUAACGCGUGGGAACCUGCCCUUAGGUUCGGAAUAACUCCCCGAAAGGGGUGCUAAUACCGGAUAAUGUCUUCGGACCAAAGAUUUAUCGCCUUUGGAUGGGCCCGCGUUGGAUUAGCUAGUUGGUAGGGUAAAAGCCUACCAAGGCGACGAUCCAUAGCUGGUCUGAGAGGAUGAUCAGCCACACUGGGACUGAGACACGGCCCAGACUACUACGGGAGGCAGCAGUGGGGAAUAUUGGACAAUGGGCGAAAGCCUGAUCCAGCAAUGCCGCGCGAGUGAUGAAGGCCUUAGGGUUGUAAAGCUCUUUUACCCGGGAUGAUAAUGACAGUACCGGGAGAAUAAGCUCCGGCUAACUCCGUG
RNAcentral lists this ribosomal RNA (433 nucleotides) under uncultured bacterium. RNAcentral's name for it is "partial 16S ribosomal RNA". It matches the Rfam family "Bacterial small subunit ribosomal RNA", at positions 29 to 507 of the family's 1533-position model. The record is from RNAcentral.